GUUCGCCUUAUUGUUCGUGGGUCCUUAUCUUCAGCAAGGACUUAAUUUGUUUCUUGAAACCCAGGGCCCUAGGCCUAAGCCUAUGCUAGGCAUCAUAGGCCCCUCAAUCAACGUGGUUUGUUUCCACAGCCAGCCCAGGAGCAUCAUCCCCAUCAUGCCUAUGCUAGGCCUAGUCUAGUCAUUAUAGCUUCAUAUUCAACUAUCCGUGGUUGAAUAAACUUGAAUUUAACAUUUGGUGUUGAUCAUCAGAGGAACGCAGCUUGUGCCAAGACUGUGCUGUUAUGAUUGGUCCAUGACAGAGAAGGCCACACCAGGACCCCUACAGUGAUUGCCUUUUAUUUUGGUUUACUGAAAUAGCAGCAAGCAUGUGUAUAGAAGGAUCACAAUUCACUGCUGGGUAUUGUGAGAAUGUGCAUUGCCCCAUGACCAAGCAAGACGCCAUGGAAACAAGCUGGGUUAUCGUUUUCUUUUAUACUCUUGUGAAUUCACUUGCAUUGAAGAAUGAAAAUAAUAAAAAUGUAUGGGAGAAGGAUUGAAACACGGACAGGAGACUUCAAGACAAGGAAGCACUAGAAAAAUGCUACAAUGAUUGUCGUAAAUGCUGUCAUCCUGUACAUUCGCCGCUAGCUGAACGUCAGUCUGGUUGCCAGUUGAAGUUGUGUAGACCUUCAGAAACCAGACUAAAAACAAGAUGGCAGCUGAUGUUUUUGAUUUGGAGGACCAAGACUUGUAACAGCUGGUGGGAUUGUGGCAAAGGCUGUUCUAGCGAUAAAAAAUAAGUGUGUGUAUUGUCUGGUAUAAAAGGAUAACUUUUCUGAACAACUUCUGUGGAGUCGUAUUGCAAGCUAGACACAAUUGAACAUCAUGCAUGAUCGACACGUUAUGAGCAUCAUCUAGCAACGUCAUCCAAACAAUUGCAGAUUUCUGCAUUAAAAGAUCUUCAAUUAAAUUUAUGAAAAAAUAUAGUUUUCUUGCGCUUUAUUCAUGAGCACUUAUCGAACUAUAAUCCACUACAGUGCUUUAAAGCAAGUAGUCUCACAGAUGGUCUUAAUGAUCACGCAUAGCAACUUUGCUCUGCAGCUCAUUUCAAAAUGAAUUGAUAAUGCUUCAAGAUACCAGCUCCAAAUAUUGGUUCCAAGAAGAACCUAGCAAAUGCGAGAAUCUGAUCCAUGCAACGCAACAAGGACACAAUCACAAGUUUAGCUCGCUCAGGAUUCAUGAAUGGCAUCUCUCUCUCCAGGACGCCGUACAUAAACUACGCCACUAAGCAUCACAUGACCAAUAAUAGUUUUGGGUUGUAAAGUGCAACCCAAACAAUGUACCCUUAAUACAGUGUAGAGGUGUUAACUGAAUGGGUUGGCCAUAGUUUUGUAGAUACUGUAUACAGUAGUAUAAUAAUACAUGGUCUAAAAAAUUGUCUCCUUAAUUGAAGUGUCCUAACAGAGGGGUUCUAAUGUAUUGGCAUUCAUCAGCAAUAUGUAAAUAAUUUUUAAAUUCCCAGACUUUCCCUAAUAGUGGGCUACCUGUUUCGUCAGCACACCUAUUCCCAAGCUAAAAUAGCCAAAACCUUGUUCAAAACAAUUGAAUAAUUUUUUUUAGGCAAAAAAUCCCUUCCCAAUAAUCGGUCUUAUAUGAUAUAAACUAAAGCUGCAAUCGUAAUGGAUUUCGAAUCCUAUAUCCUCCUCCUGUCGUCCGACUCUGAGACGAGGUGAAAAAUACUUUCCCUAUCAAAAUGCAGUUAUUUUUAUUGCUAAUCCAUAAUAUUAAUAUUGUGAUCUACUAAAAAUAUUGUGAAAGCGGUUUGGCGCAGCAGGUUUGGUUUCCAAACCUCUAGGUCAGAGUUUCAAUCCCACACUGCAUUAUAAAUGGGUACCUGGUGGGGUUGCCUGCUACUACGCCAAUAUGGCAGCAACACUUACACAUGUGGCCCCAAUGACCAGGCAAAAACCAAGUUCUUUGUAACCUAAAUGAAUAGGUGCUACAAAAAUGACAAAUAACUAGAAGACUCCACAUGAACAUCACCAGGGAUUUUUAUUUCGGGAUCUAGUCGGCCUCUUGAUUCAGAACGCCCGGUCGGCAAAUUUCUGGAGCAACCGCUGCCGAGAUCAUAGUAAACAUUCCAAUGGAGAAUCUUAUCACUGUCCACAUUUUGAUUUUUCAAAUUUAGUAAAGUUUUACCAUAACCAUAACAUGCUUAAUAAGGGCACUAACUUGUGAUCUUUACUUUUGCUUUACGACUGCUGAUAGCUAGCUGUCAAAGCAAUGUGCGCUUUUUCCAAAACAACUCACUGAGAUGCAAUGGCCAAUAAAGAUUAUGCCAGUGAA
This is a long non-coding RNA of Anneissia japonica, 2325 nucleotides long. RefSeq lists it as uncharacterized. The transcript is spliced from 6 exons. NCBI's taxonomy places the organism in Eukaryota, Metazoa, Echinodermata, Crinoidea, Comatulida, Comatulidae. The record is from RefSeq and is a predicted model, not a curated record.